RNAcentral lists this ribosomal RNA (253 nucleotides) under uncultured bacterium. RNAcentral describes it as "partial 16S ribosomal RNA". It matches the Rfam family "Bacterial small subunit ribosomal RNA", at positions 524 to 776 of the family's 1533-position model. The record is from RNAcentral.
UACGAGGGGGGCAAGCGUUGUUCGGAAUUAUUGGGCGUAAAGGGCGCGUAGGCGGUUUGAUAAGUCUGAUGUGAAAGCCCACGGCUCAACCGUGGAGGGUCAUUGGAAACUGGGGGACUUGAGUACAGAAGAGAAGAGUGGAAUUCCACGUGUAGCGGUGAAAUGCGUAGAGAUGUGGAGGAACACCAGUGGCGAAGGCGACUCUUUGGUCUGUAACUGACGCUGAGGCGCGAAAGCGUGGGGAGCAAACAGG